UCUUGACGGUACCUAAUCAGAAAGCCACGGCUAACUACGUGCCAGCAGCCGCGGUAAUACGUAGGUGGCAAGCGUUAUCCGGAAUUAUUGGGCGUAAAGCGCGCGUAGGCGGUUUUUUAAGUCUGAUGUGAAAGCCCACGGCUCAACCGUGGAGGGUCAUUGGAAACUGGAAAACUUGAGUGCAGAAGAGGAAAGUGGAAUUCCAUGUGUAGCGGUGAAAUGCGCAGAGAUAUGGAGGAACACCAGUGGC
Molecule: ribosomal RNA, 250 nt
Filed under: Staphylococcus sp. FB7Tc
Lineage: Bacteria; Bacillati; Bacillota; Bacilli; Caryophanales; Staphylococcaceae
Description: partial 16S ribosomal RNA
Rfam family: Bacterial small subunit ribosomal RNA
Source: RNAcentral